GAGAAGAAAGGCAGAAUAUGCUCUGUUUAGACCAGUUUUAAUGAGGGAGAUGAGAAGAAAGGCAGAAUGUGCUCUGUUUAGACCAGUUUUAAUGAGGGAGGUGAGAAGAAAGGCAGAAUAUGCUCUGUUUAGACCAGUUUUAAUGAGGGAGGUGAGAAGAAAGGCAGAAUGUGCUCUGUUUAGACCAGUUUUAAUGAGGGAGGUGAGAAGAAAGGCAGAAUAUGCUCUGUUUAGACCAGUGUUAAUGAGGGAGGUGAGAAGAAAGGCAGAAUAUGC
Molecule: long non-coding RNA, 276 nt
Organism: Oncorhynchus tshawytscha (Chinook salmon)
Lineage: Eukaryota; Metazoa; Chordata; Actinopteri; Salmoniformes; Salmonidae
Source: Ensembl